CAAACCCUUGACCACAGAACCAGUCUCAAGAUUUAUACAUCACAUGAAUAAAUAAGCUUUCCAUUGAUGUAUGGUUUAUUAGGAUCAGACGGGAUUUGGCCGAGAUACAGCUAUUUGAAAAUCUGGAAUCUGAGGGUGCAAAAAAAUAAAAAUACUGAAAAAAAAAGUCUUUACAUUUGUUCAAAUUAAGCUCUUAGCAAUGCAUAUCACUAAUCCAAAAAGUAAAAAAGUUUUUUAAGUGCUAUUCAACCCAGCCAUUUCAGUAGGUUAUAUAUCUGUUGAUUUAACUGUAAAACUAGUACUAGAAGCAUCACUGAGCUCACUCUCUGUGGUUUCAGGCGGCUGAACUGGCGCUGAAGGCUAAUGUGCACCUUACAGAUCUGGAUGAGGAGAUUUUCGAUGGCGAUGACUUUUACCACCAGCUACUUCGAGAGCUUAUUGAGCGCAAAACAAGUGCGACAGACCCCAAUGAUCAAGUGGCCAUGGGAAAGCAGUGGCUUGCCAUCCAGAAACUACGUAGUAAAAUCAAGAAGAAGGUGGACACCAAAGCUAGCAAAGUCAGGAAGAUCAGGUUUCACAUUCACAGUGAGCUGAUGAAUUUCAUGGCUCCAUUAGACACCAGCAGCAUGAGUGAUGAAGCCGGUGAGUGACGUCUUAGUUCUCCUCAUGUCUGAUUUUUUCUUUCUGCUGAAACGUCAGACGUCUGAUCAUACACACACACACACACACCCUCACAUUCGUAAGAUAUAUAAAGUUGUCUAAAGGCAUAGUUCACACACUAAUGAAAAUCUGUCCCAUUCACUCAUCCUAAAGCUGUGGAACAUGGAAACACUAUAUUCUAAAUCAUAGCUUCAUGUGAUGAACAGCCUGAAAAUCUUAUUAGAGCAGCUAGAACAUUCUGCUAAAUGUUCCAUGAAAAAAUAGAAAACAAGUGGGUUUGGAAAAAAUGAUGACAGCGUUCAUUUUUAAGAGUGACCUGUCCUUUUAACUGUCAGUGUUGUCAGUAUAUGAUUUGAGCGGGCCUUUAUGCCAGUCUGUGUUACUGUGCCGUGGGGACACCAGCAGGAAGUUGUAGGUGUGUGUGUGUGUGUGUGUGUUUAAUUAAUGGUUCAGUUGUGUGUUUCUCUGUCCUGUCAGAGAGCCGUAAUCCUCCUCAAACAGAGAACACGCUAAUCAAACACACUGUGGAGAUAUGCACAUACACAAACACUCACACAUUUCAAAGAUUUAACUUUUAAUCCCCCUUCUCUCUUUGCUUUUGUUUUGUUUUCCAGUGGUUCCAUUCCCUGAACUAAAAAUCUCUGCUUCAGUAGCACGUUUACACUAAAACAACCACCAAAAACAACCACCAAAAUAAAGCAAGAAUUUUGAACCUGGCUUUAUCCAAUUUUCAGGUUUCUGUUCUGGAAAUUUUGGGAAAUUAGUGCAUAUUUGAUUAGAUAAUGGUUAUAUCUAAACUUGUAUUUUUGC
This 1470-nucleotide long non-coding RNA is filed under the name Carassius auratus (goldfish). RNAcentral's name for it is "lncRNA (ENSCARG00000020692.1)". The record is from RNAcentral. Lineage: Eukaryota; Metazoa; Chordata; Actinopteri; Cypriniformes; Cyprinidae.